This 1223-nucleotide long non-coding RNA is filed under the name Chrysemys picta bellii (western painted turtle). Its description in RNAcentral is "lncRNA (ENSCPBG00000013054.1)". The record is from RNAcentral. Lineage: Eukaryota; Metazoa; Chordata; Testudines; Emydidae.
CGGCUUCCUGCCCCCCGGGGCGUGUUUCUGAAGGAGGGAACAAGGCAGGGCAGUUGGUUGGUUAUUUUCUGUUUCACUCUCCCUAGGAACAGAUCAGAGGGAGGAGCUGUAUGUAUAUAACCCCCCUGCGCCAUAGAGGAGAGACCAGAACAGGACUGGAGCGGUGCGUGUCCCACACCCUGUGCGAUCGGAAUUAACCCUUUCCUCGCUGGGUCCUGCCGGGAGCUGGGGGGCUGCGGCUCAGGCAAACCUCGAACCCAGACCCCACGGGACGGGACGCCAGUGAAAAGAAACAGAAGAAGGACGAUUCAGUGACCUGGAGUUGAUUUGGGCAGCGCCUGCUAAGGCCUGGUUGACCCUGGGGAUAAAAGCCGUGUCAAGGGAGCUUUGAAACAGUUCAUUGGAACACAGCCCAGACCCAGCCUGGCUGGUCGGGGUAUUCGGGCAAAACACACCAUCCAAUUAUAUUGGAAAGGGGUUUUCACUGCUCAUCCCACGUAGCCAAACCGCACCUGAGCUGUAAUCGAGUGAGCUGCUUUGAAACUGUCCUUACGAAGGGCUCUGCCGGCACCGCCAGACCCACUGCGAACAGGCCUCAGUUACCGCUGGCUGCAGAAAGAUGGUUCGGAUGAACAAGUCGCCCGUUUUGGACUCCAUGAGUCUUUCAGAGAGAGAGAAGAUGUUGAACGGGUUGUAUCCUGCUGAGGAGAUGAAGCCAGAUCCAGACUUGGGUUCCCAGGAAACCCCAUUGAAACACAACAGAACAACUCAUGUGUCCAUCCCCCCACAGGGUGGAGAGAGCUGCACAAUCUGCCCUACAGGUUUGCUGUCUAAAUUUAAACCAUGGGUGGCAUGUAGCUGGACAGUUCUGAGUGCGGUUCUCAAUCUCAUACUGAUCCUCGUCAUCGCCCUGCCAGGUGAGUGUGGAGCCCGCACUGACCCCGUCUCUGCACCUCACAAUCCCCCCCCCAACUUCUCCCCCCUCAGCCCACCCCUGCUUCAACAGUCACAUCAGACUCUGCUGAGCCCGGGGCGUUUCUGUGGGGUCUCCCCCGCCCCCAGUGUCCAGCUCCCACUGGCUGUUGGCUCACUCUGCCCUGUCACCCCAACACCCCUGGUUACCCAGGGCCGUGAGUCACCGUGUCACCCCCCUGCCUGCAGCGGGGGGAGCUUCUGUUUCUCAGUUAGUGCAAUUACAUUAAUGCAGCAUCAAAGGCAGGUCC